GUGAAUCAUCGAAUCUUUGAACGCACCUUGCACCCUUUGGUAUUCCGAAGGGUACACCCGUUUGAGUGUCAUUGUAAUCUCACUACGACCACUUUAUUGUUGGUUUGUAUGUGGACUUGGAUGUUGCAGUGUAACAAACGGCUCGUCUGAAAUGCCUGAGUGUACCCUGCUUUUGCGGCGUAUUCGGUGUGAUAAAUCUUCACCGGAGUUGACUUUCGGGUCGCGCUUGUAUUGUCGGGCUCUAUGCUUCCAACCGUCCUAACAAGACAAUCUUUGACAAUUUGACCUCAAAUCGGGUGG
This 300-nucleotide unclassified non-coding RNA is filed under the name uncultured Sebacinales. RNAcentral's name for it is "sequence contains 5.8S rRNA gene, ITS2". The stretch from base 1 to 71 matches the Rfam family "5.8S ribosomal RNA", at positions 84 to 154 of the family's 154-position model. The record is from RNAcentral. Lineage: Eukaryota; Fungi; Basidiomycota; Agaricomycetes; Sebacinales.